UGUCAAUGAAUUCACUAACAAUAACUUUUAAUGACAUGUUUUUACAUAAGCCUACAGAUUAUACAGUAGAGCUGUGUGUGUUGUGUUUGGAGGAGGGACUACAUCAUUUAAAGAAGUUAGAAGUUCCUGGUUUGUCAGUGAAGAAAGUCAGAGAGUCAGCAGUAAACCACCAGAGUCUCAACAUGAAAGUCCGUCACACUUCUGCUUCUUCUUCCUCUCUCUGCAGGAUGGAAACACUGGUCUCACCAAUGCCCAGAUCCCAUCUGUCCAUACAGGAACUGAUGUUCUUUUGCAAGAGAGAAUGUAAACCAGAGGACAUCCUCAUUCACACAACUGGUGUCAGAGAUCAGAGAGGCAGAUACAGCAUCACAUAAGAAGGAUAUUCUUUAUAUUCUAAAUAUGUUUUUGUGAGCAUCAUACAGCUGACCAAGUCUGACUCGGGACGGUACAGGUGUGGUUUAGGUGGAUUUAAUACAGAGUUUGAAAUCAUUGUUGUAGAUGGUGAGUUUCUACUAAAAGUCAUGAAAAUGUUUCUUUCCUGUCUGAAGAAAAGCUUCACUGUUCACUGGUUGAUUUACUUUAAUGCUCAUUUAAAAACAUCCACACAAUAGUUAAUUUGAGUAUUGGUGGACCAUAGACUUACAAACUUAUUGUUUCAAGUGAGGGGGGGGGGCGUUCCGACAGUCAUGAGGUCCAGGCUCCUAAGCUCAAAGGGUCCCGUGUCACGGGAGUGAAUCCAAUUCCAUGAACUGGCAGGUAUUCUGUGGUUAGCAUUCAGCACAAGGAUUCAGACAGAAAACAGGCUGGCGUGUUCAUACUGUAUGGUACAACAAUCCGGCAGGGACUGAAAGGUUGAGCUGGUCUUUAAAGGUGAGUUGAUUGCAGGAUGAAACACCGGUGUGCUAAUUAACAGGAUGCGUCGCAGGUGAGUUGACUGGAGCUCAGGUGACCACGCCCACCAGCAGCCCCAGAGCAUGAGGGAGGGAGCAGACGCAGAGACAGACAAAAAAACAAAACACACCAAGCACACCACAAACCAAAGGGAAAAAGAACUCAAAAACUACAAUCACACAAAUACCAACAGGCAGGUCAGGGUCAUGACCGGGGGUUCGUGACAUCAGUGUGAAAGUUUGUGACUCUGAAGUGAAUGUUUCUAUUAACAGGUGCAGUUAUUUACGAGUAUUUUUCCAUGUGUUCACCUGCCAUCACAGAAUAUUUAGACCACUUUUUCAUAUUCAAAGAUCAAUGAUCAUAUUGUGUGCAGAGGCUGAGAUUAUGAUGCUCUGAAUCUUUGCUGGAAGAAUCCAAAUCAGUCACAGACUGGUAGAACUGGGCAGCUCCCAGUGUAACUGGGGAUCACAUUUGAAACUGUAAUUAUUGUGAUCAGACUGCAUCAUGUUAAGUACAGAUAGUAACUAUUGAUUGUUCAUCUUUUCAACAGCACUGCUGGAUGGAAGUCCUCCUGAAGAACAAUUCCUCUAUACAAGAGCUGGAGGAAAUAUUGUAGUUGGAUCCUCCUUUAUUUUCUUUGGAAGCAGGAAGUACUUCUGCAAGGAAGAAUGUGAAGAGAAAGACAUUCUUGUUGAAACAACUGGUUACACAGCUGAGAGAGGCAGAUACAGCAUCAGAUAUACACAACGAUCUCUGACAGAUGUAUCUGUGUAUGUGAGCAUCACACAGCUGACCGAGUCUGACUCAGGACGGUACAGGUGUGGUCUGGAAAGACGUUUAUCACCAGAUUCCUACUGGGAGUUUGAGAUCAUUGUCACAGAUGGUGAGUUUACAUUUAAAAUAAAAUGAAAAUAACUGAGAAUGAAAAUGUUUGUUCAUGUCUCUCCAGGUCUGAAGAAAGUUUUCACUAACAGCUGCUGAUGUAAAUCCCCAGUGAACACGGAUGAAUGUAAAUGUAAAACAGUUCAGCUCACACACAGACACAGUCUGUACAUUAAUUUCUCUCACCAGGUUUUCUGCACGUUUUUGUUGUUCACAUCUCUGUUUUUUCAACAUCAGACCCAUCAGCCUCCCACCAACACAGAUUUCUCAGACUGACCAGCAGGAGACUGGGACAGCAUCACCUCGAGGAAAACCCAAUGAGAGUGCUAAACUCUGGGCUAUGCAUCGUGCUGAGCUGGAGCCUGAACCUGUACCUCAGCCUGCAUCUGAGCAGGGUGGAGCAGAGAAGAUUCAUUCCUGAUUCUCUUUUGUCUGUUUCUCGCAGUGACUUGGUUGCAGAGCAGAGAGCUGAUACCUCUCUGAGUUUGCUGUUUGAUUGUGUUUUCACUGCUAUUGAUGGUAAGAGUGUUGCAAGUGGCUAAUUGCUACAAGACCAACUGUUGGUGAGGAAAUCGUUUUUGCAUGAGGAAAACGUUGUUGGUAAUCCUGUGUUUCAGAUUGUUGUUCCUUCAAAGUUUCGUGAAGAAGUGUUGAAGACUUCUCAUGAUCAGUCAGGACAUUCUGUGCUACUUUUUUGGCAUAGAUAAAAAAGGGAUGUGUCACUGUAUAUCAAAACAUGUCGUACAUGUCAGAUGACUGGGAAGCCAAGUCAGAGUGUUAAGCCAGCUCCUCUGUGUCCUAUUCCAGUUAUCUUGCAGCCGUUCGAGCACCUGAUAAUUGACUGUGUUGGACCCCUACCUUGUUCUAAACCUGGUAGCAAUUACCUGCUUACAGUGAUGUGUUAUCAGAUAUCCGGCUGCAUAUCCAUUGCGUUCAAUCACUGCCAAGUCAGUGGUAAAUGCGCUGACCCAGUUCAUGUCCAUCUUUGGGUUCUCAAAAAUUGUUCAGUGAUUAAGGCUCAAAUUUUUCGUCUCAUUUGUUUGCAUAAAUUUUAAAGCAACAACAGGUUAAACAUAACGAGGCCUCCCUAUACCAUGGUCAGAGUCAAGGAGCUCUGAUGUCUCUGUUGCGUGGUUAAUGUGUUGAGUUGAACCAGAAUUGGGAAGAAGGCUUGCCGUGGUUAUUGUUAGCCGCCAGAGAGGUUGUGCAGGAAAGCACUGGUUUUAGCCCCAAUGAACUGGUGUUUGGGCAUACAGUGCGUGGGCCGCUCACUCUGCUGCAUGAUGUUGGGAAAUCAGAACCUCCCAGCAACUUGGCUGACUAUGUUGAUGGUUUCCGACAUCGGUUGUAUACUGCUGGGGAGAUGGCUAAAGAGAAGCUGACCUCCUCACAAGGGAAAAUGAAGCACCUGUAUGAUUAUAAAGCUGUGCAUCACCAGUACAUAACAUUCUUACGCGUAAUAUUGAAUGAAUUCUAAAGUAGUGGAUUGCACAAUUUUUAUUUAAAUGUACUACUAUAUACACAAAAGUGUAAUAACAUGUGGUUUGCAAACACUUUAAACAAAUAAGGUGCUUUUUACCAGCAGUAUUCCCUUUACACAUUAGCAUAAAUAUAUUAAACCAAACCUAUUUGCCAGGGAAUUACCUUUUAUCAAGUUACCAUCAGAGUCCAGUUUUCUUGUUUUUUUUUUCUGAACAGGUAUCAGCAUCAGGUAUCUUCGAUCAGGGAACAGCAUAACCAGUCUGUUCAGUAGGGUUGGGACGAAGUCUACAAAACUACAUUGAAACAUCGGGAUGGAUGAUAGCGGGGUCGGUGCGUGUGUUCACUCGCACAGACUUCACUUGGUUAAAAACUUGAAAUGACUAUAUAUAUAUAUAUAGAGAGAGAGAGAGAGAGAGAGAGAGAGAGAGAGAGAGAGGUUGGCUUUCUGUUUCCAUUGGGAAGCGAACCUGGUCUCUGGGGUGUAGGUCGCCUAAUCAUCUAACCAUCCACCCAACCCAUUGCUUCCAAAAUAGGAUUUUUCUGGUUAUUUAUAUCCUUAUAUAACAUUAUAUUCCUUAAUACAGGAAACUCUUUUUCUGACCAUGAUUAUGCUUAAUAAGGUGUACACUUAAAAUAUAUUAAAUAUUGAAGUUGAAUAUAUUUAAGUUGAAUAUAUUGAAGUAUGUUGGAUGUGCAGCCACAUCCUUCACACCUCUUGUAGUGGUUCUUGAAGAAGUGUGUUCUUCACGAUGUGGCUGCUCUAAAGUGCGCUAAAAAUACAUUUGGCUGAAGUCACUUUCUUGUGAAAUCCUACACCUUUAUUUUUACUUUGAAAGAGGAAAUGGAAAUUUUUACACUGACCACAAACAUUACAACUACUGUGAAUCAUAAGUUCUGAAGGCUAUUUUCAAAAUGUAUCUGAUAAACAUCAGCACCACCUCAGCAGCAUUUAACGGUCACCGCAACCUUAUUUUUAAUUAUGUAGUUCAGAGGAUCAGAGCAAAAUAAAAAGGGUCACUACCAGUUUUCCAGAUCGUCUGCGUUGCUGAGGUGUUGUAGUGUUCCAGUUUCAGCUGCUGUCUGUCUGUGAUUAUCUGACCAUCGACCAGUCAGGUCAGUUUAUUUAGAACAUUUUUUGGUGAUAUUUCUGCCUGAUCACAAGUCUUGUGGCUUAAUUUCAUUUUCCAAACGGUCUCAAGGUAAGAUAAUGUUACUACCAAUGGAGCAAUAAUGCACAGCAGUUUAAAUAGACUAAAUUAAAUUAUGACAUUAGUCUCGUGAUAUUAGCCUUUAGUCUCAACAUGUCAGAGAACACAGAUAUGUGGGAGAGAUUUUGAAUAUGCAGAAGGUUUUGAACAUGAGCAGAAAACCUGCUGAAACACAGGGCCCAGUUUUUCAAAAGUAAUCUGAUCGGAUUUCGGCUAUCGGAUUGGAUCAAAUCUGUUCAAAAGAAAAAAAAGGUUUUUGAAAUCGGAUCAGAUCACCUAAUCCAAUCCUGGGUUUGAUCUGGAUCAAACCUUCAGUUUGUGUUGUAACAAUUGCAUCCCUCAUUGCAGCUCCAGUCAGUCCCUCAUUCAGAUCACCUCCUAAAAGCUAAAAGCUUCUCUCUGAACUCUCAAUGAUCUUUAUUUUAACUAUUGGACUUUAGGACAACACAUGCUCAAAAUAUCCACAGCGUA
Molecule: long non-coding RNA, 4934 nt
Organism: Micropterus salmoides (largemouth bass)
Lineage: Eukaryota; Metazoa; Chordata; Actinopteri; Centrarchiformes; Centrarchidae
Exons: 3
Source: RefSeq, a predicted model, not a curated record